This 329-nucleotide ribosomal RNA is filed under the name uncultured eukaryote. Its description in RNAcentral is "partial 18S ribosomal RNA". It matches the Rfam family "Eukaryotic small subunit ribosomal RNA", at positions 1470 to 1796 of the family's 1831-position model. The record is from RNAcentral.
CCCUUAGAUGUUCUGGGCCGCACGCGCGCUACAAUGAUGAAUUCAACGAGUCUAUAACCUUGGUUGAAAAGCCUGGGUAAUCUUUUGAACUUUCGUCGUGAUGGGGCUAGACCCUUGCAAUUAUUGGUCUCCAACGAGGAAUUCCUAGUAAACGCAAGUCAUCAGCUUGCAUUGAUUACGUCCCUGCCCUUUGUACACACCGCCCGUCGCACCUACCGAUUGAAUGGUCCGGUGAAAUCUUCGGAUUGAGACUUUGAUUUGUUUACUCAAAACGCUGUUUCAAGAAGUUGAUUAAACCUUACCAUUUAGAGGAAGGUGAAGUCGUAACA